GAUGUCCCGCCCUCGGGGAAGCCCGGGGAGGGGGCGGGCGCGCUGAUGACCGGAGGGAGGGCGUGCGGGCCCAGAGGAAAAGCCCCGAAGACCGGGAAGAUGGAGGAGGUCGCUGCGGCCGAGGGGGCGGGGGCCCCUAGCCUCCCUCCCGCGGGGUCACCUUGGCCAGGCCCCCCGCGGCCACGGGCGGCGGGGAGGGCGGCAGGAAUGCCUCUCCGCAGGCCCUGAUUUCUCCGCCCAGCCCAGUUCCAGGAACGCGCGGGCAGCGCCGGGCAGGCAGAGGCCCCGGCUUCGGAUUCGGGGAGGCGCAAGCCAGGGUUCGAGGCCGGGAUGAGCCCCUCCCUCCCGUCCCCUGCCGGGCUGGUCCCCGCCUUGCCCUCGGCCUCAGUUUCCCAGGCGGUAGAAUUAGGACGAGGUCGGGCCGGGAACAGUCCUGGCUUCCGCUCGGCCCCAGUCUUGGUCCCAGUAUUUGGGACAACCUGCAUCCCCAGCCUGAGCGCCGCGGGGGUCCUUGCUCGCUCUGGGACCUUCCGCGUCCAGCGCGGCGCCCGCGGUUAGGACGCGCGGUGGGAGUGGAUGCCGGCGAGUGCGAAAGCCCGGCACCCGCACCCGCCUAAGCUGUUUCUCCCUCCUGAUGUUGAACCCAGGCUCUGAGUUCCUGAAUGUGUCUUGUUUGGGCCACUCUGGAGCCCCCGCCCAGUUAUCUUCCUGCUGCUCUGCUGUCAGGUGGCAAAUCUUGGUUCAAAAACAGUCCUCCUGCUAUUGGCCAGCCUUGCCGCUUCACAGUUGGCCUUGAGGAGCCCAAGAGACGAAAAGCAUCCUCUAUAGGGGUCUUACAAUCCAGUAGGACCUGAAUCCAGUGACCAGGAGGCAGCGCCUGCUAUAGCAGUCACACCAAGCGUGGCUUCCUCCUUCUUAGUGAAAGUACUAAACCAGAAGUUCCCCAACUUACAGCAAGAAGGCAGCCAUCUGCAAGCCAGGAAGAGUGUCCUCACCAGGAACUGAAUUUGCCAGCACUUUGAUCUUGGACUUCAGCCUCCAGAACUGUUGGAAAUAAUGUGUGUUGUUUAAGCUACUCCAUCUAUGUUAUUUUGUUAUAGUAGUCUGAGCUAGGAUAAUUGCUGAAAGAUAUAUUUGGGGGGCUGAAUCUGGUCCCUUAAACUUUCAACAGUAAACAUUUAUUGA
Molecule: long non-coding RNA, 1185 nt
Organism: Panthera uncia (snow leopard)
Lineage: Eukaryota; Metazoa; Chordata; Mammalia; Carnivora; Felidae
Exons: 4
Source: RefSeq, a predicted model, not a curated record